GUGCCAGCCGCCGCGGUAAGACGAGGGAUCCUAGCGUUGCUCGGAAUCAUUGGGCGUAAAGCGGGUGUAGGUGGCUUUGUAAGUCAGGUGUGAAAGCCCAGGGCUCAACCCUGGAAGUGCAUUUGAUACUGCGAAGCUUGAGUGUUGGAGAGGUCAUCGGAAUACCUGGUGUAGUGGUGAAAUACGUAGAUAUCAGGUGGAACACCGGAGGCGAAGGCGGGUGACUGGCCAAACACUGACACUGAGACCCGAAAGCGUGGGGAUCAAACAGGAUUAGAAACCCUCGUAGUCC
This 292-nucleotide ribosomal RNA is filed under the name uncultured bacterium. RNAcentral's name for it is "partial 16S ribosomal RNA". It matches the Rfam family "Bacterial small subunit ribosomal RNA", at positions 505 to 796 of the family's 1533-position model. The record is from RNAcentral.